This 253-nucleotide ribosomal RNA is filed under the name uncultured bacterium. Its description in RNAcentral is "partial 16S ribosomal RNA". It matches the Rfam family "Bacterial small subunit ribosomal RNA", at positions 524 to 776 of the family's 1533-position model. The record is from RNAcentral.
UACGAAGGGUGCAAGCGUUACUCGGAAUUACUGGGCGUAAAGGGUGCGUAGGUGGUUGUUUAAGUCUGCUGUGAAAGCCCCGGGCUCAACCUGGGAAUGGCAGUGGAUACUGGACAGCUAGAGUGCGGUAGAGGGUAGUGGAAUUCCCGGUGUAGCAGUGAAAUGCGUAGAGAUCGGGAGGAACACCAGUGGCGAAGGCGGCAUCCUGGACCAACACUGACACUGAGGAGCGAAAGCCAGGGGAGCAAACGGG